This 71-nucleotide transfer RNA is filed under the name Balistapus undulatus (orange-lined triggerfish). RNAcentral describes it as "tRNA-Pro". It matches the Rfam family "tRNA". From Rfam's summary of the family: Transfer RNA (tRNA) molecules are approximately 80 nucleotides in length. Their secondary structure includes four short double-helical elements and three loops (D, anti-codon, and T loops). Further hydrogen bonds mediate the characteristic L-shaped molecular structure. tRNAs have two regions of fundamental functional importance: the anti-codon, which is responsible for specific mRNA codon recognition, and the 3' end, to which the tRNAs corresponding amino acid is attached (by aminoacyl-tRNA synthetases). tRNAs cope with the degeneracy of the genetic code in two manners: having more than one tRNA (with a specific anti-codon) for a particular amino acid; and 'wobble' base-pairing, i.e. permitting non-standard base-pairing at the 3rd anti-codon position. Lineage: Eukaryota; Metazoa; Chordata; Actinopteri; Tetraodontiformes; Balistidae. The record is from RNAcentral.
CAAAGAAUAGUUUAGUUUUAGAACACUAGCUUUGGGAGUUAGCGGUGAGGGUUUGAAUCCCUUUUCUUUGA